This 465-nucleotide ribosomal RNA is filed under the name Vreelandella stevensii. Its description in RNAcentral is "partial 16S ribosomal RNA". It matches the Rfam family "Bacterial small subunit ribosomal RNA", at positions 338 to 795 of the family's 1533-position model. The record is from RNAcentral. Lineage: Bacteria; Pseudomonadati; Pseudomonadota; Gammaproteobacteria; Oceanospirillales; Halomonadaceae.
CCUACGGGGGGCAGCAGGGGGGAAUAUUGGACAAUGGGGGGAACCCUGAUCCAGCCAUGCCGCGUGUGUGAAGAAGGCCCUCGGGUUGUAAAGCACUUUCAGUGAGGAAGAACGCCUGGUGGUUAAUACCCAUCAGGAAAGACAUCACUCACAGAAGAAGCACCGGCUAACUCCGUGCCAGCAGCCGCGGUAAUACGGAGGGUGCGAGCGUUAAUCGGAAUUACUGGGCGUAAAGCGCGCGUAGGUGGCUUGAUAAGCCGGUUGUGAAAGCCCCGGGCUCAACCUGGGAACGGCAUCCGGAACUGUCAAGCUAGAGUGCAGGAGAGGAAGGUAGAAUUCCCGGUGUAGCGGUGAAAUGCGUAGAGAUCGGGAGGAAUACCAGUGGCGAAGGCGGCCUUCUGGACUGACACUGACACUGAGGUGCGAAAGCGUGGGUAGCAAACAGGAUUAGAUACCCUGGUAGUC